Molecule: ribosomal RNA, 1834 nt
Filed under: Escherichia coli
Lineage: Bacteria; Pseudomonadati; Pseudomonadota; Gammaproteobacteria; Enterobacterales; Enterobacteriaceae
Description: partial 23S ribosomal RNA
Rfam family: Bacterial large subunit ribosomal RNA
Source: RNAcentral
GGUUAAGCGACUAAGCGUACACGGUGGAUGCCCUGGCAGUCAGAGGCGAUGAAGGACGUGCUAAUCUGCGAUAAGCGUCGGUGAGGUGAUAUGAACCGUUAUAACCGGCGAUUUCCGAAUGGGGAAACCCAGUGUGUUUCGACACACUAUCAUUAACUGAAUCCAUAGGUUAAUGAGGCGAACCGGGGGAACUGAAACAUCUAAGUACCCCGAGGAAAAGAAAUCAACCGAGAUUCCCCCAGUAGCGGCGAGCGAACGGGGAGGAGCCCAGAGCCUGAAUCAGUGUGUGUGUUAGUGGAAGCGUCUGGAAAGGCGUGCGAUACAGGGUGACAGCCCCGUACACAAAAAUGCACAUAUUGUGAGCUCGAUGAGUAGGGCGGGACACGUGGUAUCCUGUCUGAAUAUGGGGGGACCAUCCUCCAAGGCUAAAUACUCCUGACUGACCGAUAGUGAACCAGUACCGUGAGGGAAAGGCGAAAAGAACCCCGGCGAGGGGAGUGAAAAAGAACCUGAAACCGUGUACGUACAAGCAGUGGGAGCCUCUUAAUGGGGUGACUGCGUACCUUUUGUAUAAUGGGUCAGCGACUUAUAUUCUGUAGCAAGGUUAACCGAAUAGGGGAGCCGAAGGGAAACCGAGUCUUAACUGGGCGUUAAGUUGCAGGGUAUAGACCCGAAACCCGGUGAUCUAGCCAUGGGCAGGUUGAAGGUUGGGUAACACUAACUGGAGGACCGAACCGACUAAUGUUGAAAAAUUAGCGGAUGACUUGUGGCUGGGGGUGAAAGGCCAAUCAAACCGGGAGAUAGCUGGUUCUCCCCGAAAGCUAUUUAGGUAGCGCCUCGUGAAUUCAUCUCCGGGGGUAGAGCACUGUUUCGGCAAGGGGGUCAUCCCGACUUACCAACCCGAUGCAAACUGCGAAUACCGGAGAAUGUUAUCACGGGAGACACACGGCGGGUGCUAACGUCCGUCGUGAAGAGGGAAACAACCCAGACCGCCAGCUAAGGUCCCAAAGUCAUGGUUAAGUGGGAAACGAUGUGGGAAGGCCCAGACAGCCAGGAUGUUGGCUUAGAAGCAGCCAUCAUUUAAAGAAAGCGUAAUAGCUCACUGGUCGAGUCGGCCUGCGCGGAAGAUGUAACGGGGCUAAACCAUGCACCGAAGCUGCGGCAGCGACACUAUGUGUUGUUGGGUAGGGGAGCGUUCUGUAAGCCUGUGAAGGUGGCCUGUGAGGGUUGCUGGAGGUAUCAGAAGUGCGAAUGCUGACAUAAGUAACGAUAAAGCGGGUGAAAAGCCCGCUCGCCGGAAGACCAAGGGUUCCUGUCCAACGUUAAUCGGGGCAGGGUGAGUCGACCCCUAAGGCGAGGCCGAAAGGCGUAGUCGAUGGGAAACAGGUUAAUAUUCCUGUACUUGGUGUUACUGCGAAGGGGGGACGGAGAAGGCUAUGUUGGCCGGGCGACGGUUGUCCCGGUUUAAGCGUGUAGGCUGGUUUUCCAGGCAAAUCCGGAAAACCAAGGCUGAGGCGUGAUGACGAGGCACUACGGUGCUGAAGCGACAAAUGCCCUGCUUCCAGGAAAAGCCUCUAAGCAUCAGGUAACAUCAAAUCGUACCCCAAACCGACACAGGUGGUCAGGUAGAGAAUACCAAGGCGCUUGAGAGAACUCGGGUGAAGGAACUAGGCAAAAUGGUGCCGUAACUUCGGGAGAAGGCACGCUGAUAUGUAGGUGAAGCGACUUGCUCGUGGAGCUGAAAUCAGUCGAAGAUACCAGCUGGCUGCAACUGUUUAUUAAAAACACAGCACUGUGCAAACACGAAAGUGGACGUAUACGGUGUGACGCCUGC